AUACGAGGGUGGCUAGCGUUGUCCGGAAUUAUUGGGUGUAAAGGGCUCGUAGGCGGGCAGGACAGUGAGGAUUUAAAUACCUCGGCUUAACCGAGGAGCUGGUCUUCAUACUUCCUGUCUUGAGUGCGGUAGAGGAGGGUGGAAUUCCUGGUGUAGCGGUGGAAUGCGUAGAUAUCAGGAGGAACACCGAUGGCGAAGGCAGCCCUCUGGGCCGGUUCUGACACUAAACUGCGAAAGCGUGGGGAGCAAACAGGAUUAGAUACCCCAGUAGUCC
RNAcentral lists this ribosomal RNA (274 nucleotides) under uncultured bacterium. Its description in RNAcentral is "partial 16S ribosomal RNA". It matches the Rfam family "Bacterial small subunit ribosomal RNA", at positions 523 to 796 of the family's 1533-position model. The record is from RNAcentral.